Molecule: long non-coding RNA, 2685 nt
Organism: Cairina moschata (Muscovy duck)
Lineage: Eukaryota; Metazoa; Chordata; Aves; Anseriformes; Anatidae
Source: Ensembl
GUCCUGUUUACACUGAGGAAAGAUCUACAGAUUACAGCAGGAGUUAACCACAGCUUACCUGAAAACUCUCAUCUAACUUGAGUCCAAGAAGCAGAUGCUGCCCUCUUUUACACCGGUGCAAUUCUGGAAUAACUCCACUGACGUCAGUGAAGUGAAAUUUAUCCCAGUUGAAAGCAGAAUUGGACCACAGUCUCAUCAUCUGCUUAUAUGCUAUGGUGCUCUCAGGAAGGUGCACCAUUACCAUACCAUAAGGUAUGAUUUGAAAGAGGGUAGUAGUGGUCAGCAUGCACAGUGUGGAACAUGUCUUGUCAGCCAUGCUCAGAGCUGGACCUGUUGUGUGGGGUUUCAAGCAACAUGUGCAGUGAGGCUGGAUUCUGGAUGAUGCAAGGCUGUUGUGUCAGAAUGCUGCAAAAGAUGUUGCAUCUCCUCCUCAUGGUGUUGGUGAAGUUUCCCUCUGUGCAGGGAAUACAGCAUUUAUGGACAGGAAACUGCUUUCCUUGCUUAGAGGUUUUCUUAUUUUCUUUAAAGGGGUUAGCAUGCUUAGUUACAGGAAACUGAAAUUAGAUGUGAACAGGGGUUGGAGGAAGCAGGCAGGGAGAAUCCUCUACAAGAUUCAAAUGUGUAUGAUUUCUGGGAAAACUAAAUAAAACAGAAUUUAAUUCCCAGUGUCUAAAUAGCAGCAAUUUUUCAUCUAUUAAUCAAAAGACCCAGACAAGCACUGAGUAGUGUGGGAAGCUGGAAAUGGACAUAGGACACCUCCAAACCAUUCUGUUACUGACACCUAUUUUAAAUCUUUUUUCAAGUGGAGGACCCAGUCCUAGCAAAUGUGUACAGUCAGCCCUUAGAAGAGCACAAAGCUUUCUCUAGAGAACUAAAUAGCUGGUGAAAGCAUGCCCAUUUGUCUGCCUGUCUUUUGCCCCUGGAUUACUGUGCUUUUAUAGACUGUUUUCAUAGCUCAAAUAAAUGGUAGAAGCUUAACAUAGCUCUACAAAUAAUAAUCAUCCUGAUCAUGCAUAAUAUGUGUUAUGUAAGAGGUGGGCCCAAACUAGAGAUAUUUCUCAUUUCCCUAUGAAGUGUCUUGUUUGAGUGUAUUUGGAGUUAGUUCUUCUUGUGAACAUGUGAGUCUAUUGCCUACUUUAAAGGAGGUAGUGACUUAGUUUCAGUGGCUGUAGAGAGUUUCACUGAAAUAGCACUGUUUAUAGUCUUUCAUGUGAUUUAGAAGGCACAAUUGCCAUAUAGUUCUGAAAAUGUAAUAUAAUUGUAUACAGUGUUCCUGGGAAAUGUUCUGAAGUUUUUUCCCACUGCACCAUUGUGAUGAAAACCUCUGUUGCUCUUCACGCUCUGUGAGCCCAUGCUGUACUAUGCUGAAGUUGAUGGGAAACCCACUUAGUAAUAGGAAGUGAUGGACAGAGAGGGAUGCUCUGGCCUGGAAUCUCCUCUUUGGCAAUGGCACAGGUCAGCCCUGCAGCCAAAAGUCCAGAACAAAAGGCAGAUCUACCCUCAGUGUGUUGCCAGUUCUCCAUGUAGGUGAAUAGGAGGAUGAGAAAUAGAGAAGUAAUUCUGGAAGGAGAGAGAUUUAGAGGAAGAGUGGAGUAAAAGGGGUUCUGAUCAUUACAUCUGGGAUUUUCAAAGGUACUCUAUUGAUGCUGGGCAUCCAGCUCCUCCAGGCUAUUUAUCAAUAACACCCUUUAAAUUUUCAUGUAUGACUUUUAGCUUGUGUGGCAGUCCUUACAGUCAGCGCAUGAGGGAAAAGAGGUAGAAAGCAUCUCCUAAUGUGACAGUUCUUGGCACCUGUAACAAGCAAGGAUUGUAAUAUCUCCUCAUGGCUGCUGACUGAGGGUCUGGCCAGAGCUGCCACAAACCCUUCUUGCAUGGGCAGUUGUCUUCAGAGGUAGACAAAGUGUAAGCUGCCUGCUGCAGAAAUCUGUGAGCCUUCAGAUGCAUGGCAUGCAGAUCAGAGACUUUAGGUGAUACUGUGUGCCACCACAAACAGCAUGGAUAUUGGUUGCAGGACCCUUUUGCUUUUGCUGUGAAAUCUAACUCCUAGAUGUUAUUUAAAGGAAAACAGUUGGGAUUUGCAGGCCAGGUCAUGUGGUGACAAAAGUAUUUCCAGUGCCCUCACUGGAGCCAGGCUGAUUUAUACAAGUCUAGUCCAACAUUUCUGAGAAACUGUGGAUGAUAGGUUUUUUUGUUGUUGUUCUUGGCUGCACUGAAAACCUGAAGCCUUUCAAAUAAAGUAUGUGAAGGAAACAGAUUUUUUAGAUGGAAUAGUGAAAAUGCUGUUUUCUGGACUCAGACUUUGAGACAAGUUUUUUGCAGAACCCACAUGUUGUGAGAGAAGAGGGUAUUGGGCUUGAAAGCUGACCAAUGAAAUGGGACUCAACUGAGCUUUGAAAAGCAAUUAUUGUCCUUAUUGGUGUUGCCAUAAUAUAUGCUUAACUCAAACCCAAUCUUGCACAGGCCAGAACCCAAUGAAACCAUGUAACUAGGUAUUUGUGAUUGUUCCUAUCGGUGUGAUCCACUGUUGAAUAGGCUGGACAUAUGAAUAAAACCAAUAUUUUUUAAAGUGUUGUGUGUUUUUCAUGUCAAAAAGACUGGUUGCACUCUGGUACUUUACUAUGUCCAUAUGAAGUAUAUUAUGUGGGAUUAAUACAACUGUACAGCUUUCUUAGGACAAUUGGCAGC